AUGGCUACUAUUGGGUUCUACUGGACAGCACUAGUUUCUGAGCAGGACAAUCUCCUCCAAAUGAGCAACAGAUGGUGUCUUGAUCUGUGGCCUCUGAGGAAGAAGAGCUCUUUUAUUUGGUGUUCAGCAGCUGGAAGAAUCUGGAGGGAAGUGGUCCCAGAAUCGAGGAGACCAAGCUGCUUGAAGGUGGUAUGUUCUAUACAGACCCUCUUUGUGUUCAUAUUCUUCAGGCUUGAAGUCAUUUCUCUACCCUUGAAAAAUACUACAGCAUAUGUAUUAUUGUGAAAUACACAUGGCACUGUUUGAAAAAUAUAGUUUUCUUUUCUUUUUAAAACAGAAGCCCAUUUUGUAAAAACAGAAGCCUCCCCUCUGCCCUUAAAAGGAAGAACCAAAGUAUUGAAAUGCAAGAGUUAUUGCUUCUCUGUGAAGCUAAAUGAUUUUAAUUAUUAGCUUUUGAAAGAAAAGAUGCUGAUUGAAAGUUAAGUAUGAUUGGACAUCUAAAAAGUGUCAGUAAAAGGCCAAAAGGAAGAUAUGAGAUUUCAUUUGUAAUUAAAAUAGCAGAAACAGUUGUGAGAAGACAUGUGGAAUAGGACAGAACUCAAAAAUGUCCACAGUAGUUUAAUUUGAAUAUGACAGUUUUCUCUGAUACACAGAAUAAGUGUAUCCCUGAAGAAUUGUCUGUAAGAGGAAAUUUUGCACAUUGAACCAUUUUCCUAAUUGAUUUUUCUAACAGAAAGACAAAAUAGGCCAAAGUAUCCAGAAGUGGAUGGAAAGAACAGUGGAAGGCUGAAAACCCAGAUUUUAGUCCUGGUUCUAUCAGUAAUUUGGUCUGUGAGGUUGAGCCAGUCACUUGAUUGGUCUAGACCUCUGUUUCCUCUUUAAACAAUAAGAUUGGAAUACAUGAUCCUAGGUUUAAUUCCAUGUGUUUUAAUGGCAUUGUGCAGUGGAAGGGUUCCUAGCCUUGGAAUUAGACCCCUUGAGUUUGAAGCUGACCUUGAAUAAGUUAUCUAAUCUCUCUUGGCUUCAGUAAAAUGUGCCUCCAUAUGACUUGAUCUUGGUUUUCUUCUUUCCCAUCCCUCUUUUAACCCUGUAGCUACUAUUUAUUUUACUGUUGAUUCUAGCUUUCACAGAGAGCUCAGAGAUGCAGGAUCAGUGACAUUUGAGUUAGGUAGAGGUCCUCCUUCCAGGUGGGUUCUCCGGUAGAUUUCCAUUUUUAAGGAGGAUGUGAAUUCUUUUUCUGUGUCUGUUCCUCCCCUCUCCCCUCACCUGGUACCAUCAGCCAACA
RNAcentral lists this long non-coding RNA (1285 nucleotides) under Monodelphis domestica (gray short-tailed opossum). Its description in RNAcentral is "lncRNA (ENSMODG00000037503.1)". Lineage: Eukaryota; Metazoa; Chordata; Mammalia; Didelphimorphia; Didelphidae. The record is from RNAcentral.